AAAACCGGUCUCAGUUCGGAUUGGAGUCUGCAACUCGACUCCAUGAAGCCGGAAUCGCUAGUAAAGGCGGAUCAUAACGCCGCCUUGAAUACGUUCUCGGGUCUUGUACUCACCGCCCGUCACGUCAAGAGAAUUGGUAAUGCCCGAACGUCGCUUUACGGCGGCGGAAGGCAGGACCAGUAAUAGGGACGAAGUCGUAACAAGGCAUCCGUAGCGGAAGCUGUGGAUGGAUCACCUCCUUUCUAGGGA
RNAcentral lists this ribosomal RNA (249 nucleotides) under Candidatus Uhrbacteria bacterium. Its description in RNAcentral is "partial 16S ribosomal RNA". It matches the Rfam family "Bacterial small subunit ribosomal RNA", at positions 1278 to 1533 of the family's 1533-position model. Lineage: Bacteria; Candidatus Uhriibacteriota. The record is from RNAcentral.